This is a long non-coding RNA of Cyprinus carpio (common carp), 1071 nucleotides long. NCBI's taxonomy places the organism in Eukaryota, Metazoa, Chordata, Actinopteri, Cypriniformes, Cyprinidae. The record is from Ensembl.
AUUGGUCUAAUCAAGUUAGACACUCUUCUGCUUCUCUGAAGAAAUCGCACAUUGGCUCAUUUUUAGAGACUGAGGAAGUGAAACUGCUGGAGACUUAUCAGAUCAUAUCAUAAACGAAAGCUGCAGCUUUUCUUCUAGUUUCCCGAACGAAAUAUGGCAAAUGCGGGUAAUAGCUGUCGCUUUGUUAGCUGGUUAGUGAAUUCUGAUUUAAAUGAUAAUCACUCCGACAGCACUGAUGAUGAUGAUGGUAUUUAUGAAAAUGGAUUGAAGACGUGCGAAUGUAAGGCUCCAGUCGCUGAAUGUGAUCCAGGUCUGUUCGAGCCUGAGGAACAGUACUAUCUACCUCGGAGCAGCCCUGUCAUAUCCCGCAAGAGACAUAACACAGAGACAGAAAAACAGUUUGGUCUGUCUUUGACACCUCCAAAAUGGGAACUAUCUAUCUCUCCAACUGUGAAAUCUAACUAUUCAAGUCCAGAUAGAGUGGUAGAGUCAAGUCACUUAGAGAAAGAGAGAAACCUUGAUCACUGUGAUACACCCAAAGGCUCUUCAGGACAGACACAGUUCCUCCCAGAUAAUCAUGGCACAGUGACAGGAAUUUCCCGUGUCUCUCAGGACGCUCGCUGCCACUCUUUUGUUUCUGGGCGAUUACAUGAGGGUUUCCAGUCAAAGACUAAAAGAAGAGCCUGCUCUGACCUCCCACCAGCAUCUGUUCAGAGGAGCUCAGACCAAGCUAAGAAACAUGGAUCAUGUGUGGAUCACUCCACUGCAGACCUCUACAGUCUGGACCAGGAAAAUGCUCAUUUUGUAGUUGUGGAUAUGGUGCUGGAAAUGCUGGAUGCCGUGAAAUGGGCCGUGUGUUUGCAGCAGUUAAAAAACACUCAUCCUCAUCAAGACAGAUGUGAAAAACUAAAUACCUCAAAAACUGACUCAAUCUAUUCCUUUGACAGCGGGUUUGAGGGUAAGAUCAGAUUGAUUUGCAGCGAAGCCCUGUGUCAUCCACAUGUGAUGUGGUUCUGCCAGAGAUCACAUAAUGCUGACCUACUCUCUUUAAAACGAACAGCUCAUCAUUAA